This is a long non-coding RNA of Bubalus bubalis (water buffalo), 1539 nucleotides long. RefSeq lists it as uncharacterized. The record is from RefSeq and is a predicted model, not a curated record. The transcript is spliced from 4 exons. Lineage: Eukaryota; Metazoa; Chordata; Mammalia; Artiodactyla; Bovidae.
ACAGUUUCUGAUUUCCUUUGUUUUUCAACCUCAGUCUGUUCUAGCUCCAGUGACUGACUACAAAUGGCCACACUGUUUACAGAAGGCUGGGGUGUCAGUUGUUGAAGGAAGAUGGAAUCGAGCAAGUCCACCUCCCACUCCAGAAGUCUGGUUCCCAGCUCAGUGGAGGCUCCUGGGGUUCCAGCCUCCUAGGGAGUCAGUGAAGACCACCGGAGGUGAUCUCUAAAUCCAAUCUCUGCAAGCGGAAGGAGACAGAGGGAGCAUCCCCACAACAGCCACACUGAAAUUAAUUAUUCUGAUCCACCAACACCAACUAAACUAUGAGAAUGGUCUUGUAAGCAAGGUCUGCUUUAAUAGAAACAUAAGUAUUAUGCAUUGCAGUCUAUUAUAAAUUGGUUGUAAUUUUCUCCUGACACUUUCUGAAUUAGUUAGUAUACAAAAAUAAUAAUAAUAAUAAUAACAAAUGCCACAAAGCAAAAAAAAGCAAACUCAAUGUCUGAAGGUUAAUGAUUGCUCAUGAAAGCCACAGAAAUAAAUUAUCUGCCUAGGGACACUGUCACAUGAUCAGCACAAAAGCAGCAAGAGCCAAAAAUGUUUAUGUAGAGGGAAAAAACACUGUCAGCGUCACAGAACCCUUCCCCCCACAGCUAAAUUCGAGUCCUGAGCCAGCCAGCUGCUCCUGACUGCUUACAUUAAACUAAUUUGUGCUGCUACAUUGCAGCUGCUUAAUUUUUAGGCUGAACUUUAUCACCAAUAAGUGUUACAAUAACAAGCGAUAUGAUGGUAUCUCUGAAGAAAUAUCCAUCAACCUCCAAACAAUGACAGCUUCAGGAGAGGAGACUGCAGAAAAACAAAUUAAAACAACAAAAAAAAAAGACAGAAAAGAAAAUCACCCCCACACUGCCUCUUUAAAGGGGGGAGGGGCGAACUUUUAGUGGGAAAGGCUUUAAAACGCUGCUUUGUUCCGAAGGCCAUUCUGAAAUGAAGAAGGGGGAUGAUUGAAAAGGUUAGCGAGCAGGGGAGGAGUUAACAAGUAAGAUGUGCUUUUGCUAAGAGAGGGUGAUUUGCAAGGCGGCUGAUAAAUCACACUACGGAGCUGACUCAGAAUGCCACAGGGCAGGGCCUUGUUUCCAUGGGUUUCUGUUGAUGUCCCCCGACUGUGGCUGGGGCUCAGCGGGAUGUCUCUGUCUGCUGUUGGCAAGGCUUUAAGACCACUGGGAACUCAGACACAAGCAUCCUGGGGCCUGGAGUCCAAGGGAUUCUCAAGAUGGACAUCCUGUCAAAACUUCAAGUGUGAAAUGAGGAAUUAAUUUGAUGGAAUGUAUCCGUCUAUCUUACCUGUUUCUCCAGAGCUGGACUGAACUGGUCUGACGAGGACACUUGAAGGCUCGUGAAUAAGUUCAUACAUUUGGUGUGGAAGACAGAGCUAAAGAUGUGGGUGCUGGUGUGUACGUGUGAAUGUGCACAUACGUGUAUGUGUGGGGAGCACAUACGAAUUCAAAACCGUCGGUAUCUGAGGCUAUUUAAUCCUGGACCUUG